This 230-nucleotide ribosomal RNA is filed under the name Clostridium botulinum D/C. RNAcentral describes it as "partial 16S ribosomal RNA". It matches the Rfam family "Bacterial small subunit ribosomal RNA", at positions 1 to 226 of the family's 1533-position model. Lineage: Bacteria; Bacillati; Bacillota; Clostridia; Eubacteriales; Clostridiaceae. The record is from RNAcentral.
UUUAAAUUGAGAGUUUGAUCCUGGCUCAGGACGAACGCUGGCGGCGUGCCUAACACAUGCAAGUCGAGCGAUGAAACUUUCUUCGGGAAGUGGAUUAGCGGCGGACGGGUGAGUAACACGUGGGUAACCUGCCUCAAAGAGUGGGAUAGCCUCCCGAAAGGGAGAUUAAUACCGCAUAACAUUAUUUUAUGGCAUCAUAAAAUAAUCAAAGGAGCAAUCCGCUUUGAGAU